This 1416-nucleotide ribosomal RNA is filed under the name bacterium NLAE-zl-H314. RNAcentral describes it as "bacterial SSU rRNA". It matches the Rfam family "Bacterial small subunit ribosomal RNA". The record is from RNAcentral.
GGCUACCAUGCAGUCGAGGGGCAGCAUGAACUUAGCUUGCUAAGUUUGAUGGCGACCGGCGCACGGGUGAGUAACACGAUAUCCAACCUGCCGAUGACUCGGGGAUAGCCUUUCGAAAGAAAGAUUAAUACCCGAUGGCAUAGUUCUUCCGCAUGGCUAGAACUAUUAAAGAAUUUCGGUCAUCGAUGGGGAUGCGUUCCAUUAGGUUGUUGGCGGGGUAACGGCCCACCAAGCCUUCGAUGGAUAGGGGUUCUGAGAGGAAGGUCCCCCACAUUGGAACUGAGACACGGUCCAAACUCNUACGGGAGGCAGCAGUGAGGAAUAUUGGUCAAUGGACGAGAGUCUGAACCAGCCAAGUAGCGUGAAGGAUGACUGCCCUAUGGGUUGUAAACUUCUUUUAUACGGGAAUAAAGUGAGGCACGUGUGCCUUUUUGUAUGUACCGUAUGAAUAAGGAUCGGCUAACUCCGUGCCAGCAGCCGCGGUAAUACGGAGGAUCCGAGCGUUAUCCGGAUUUAUUGGGUUUAAAGGGAGCGUAGGCGGACGCUUAAGUCAGUUGUGAAAGUUUGCGGCUCAACCGUAAAAUUGCAGUUGAUACUGGGUGUCUUGAGUACAGUAGAGGCAGGCGGAAUUCGUGGUGUAGCGGUGAAAUGCUUAGAUAUCACGAAGAACUCCGAUUGCGAAGGCAGCCUGCUGGACUGUAACUGACGCUGAUGCUCGAAAGUGUGGGUAUCAAACAGGAUUAGAUACCCUGGUAGUCCACACAGUAAACGAUGAAUACUCGCUGUUUGCGAUAUACAGUAAGCGGCCAAGCGAAAGCGUUAAGUAUUCCACCUGGGGAGUACGCCGGCAACGGUGAAACUCAAAGGAAUUGACGGGGGCCCGCACAAGCGGAGGAACAUGUGGUUUAAUUCGAUGAUACGCGAGGAACCUUACCCGGGCUUGAAUUGCAACUGAAUGAUGUGGAGACAUGUCAGCCCCAAGGCAGUUGUGAAGGUGCUGCAUGGUUGUCGUCAGCUCGUGCCGUGAGGUGUCGGCUUAAGUGCCAUAACGAGCGCAACCCUUAUCGAUAGUUACCAUCAGGUNAUGCUGGGGACUCUGUCGAGACUGCCGUCGUAAGAUGUGAGGAAGGUGGGGAUGACGUCAAAUCAGCACGGCCCUUACGUCCGGGGCUACACACGUGUUACAAUGGGGGGUACAGAAGGCAGCUACACGGCGACGUGAUGCUAAUCCCGAAAGCCUCUCUCAGUUCGGAUUGGAGUCUGCAACCCGACUCCAUGAAGCUGGAUUCGCUAGUAAUCGCGCAUCAGCCACGGCGCGGUGAAUACGUUCCCGGGCCUUGUACACACCGCCCGUCAAGCCAUGAAAGCCGGGGGUACCUGAAGUGCGUAACCGCAAGAGCGCCCUAGGGAAACUUU